Molecule: long non-coding RNA, 1132 nt
Organism: Drosophila mauritiana
Lineage: Eukaryota; Metazoa; Arthropoda; Insecta; Diptera; Drosophilidae
Exons: 2
Source: RefSeq, a predicted model, not a curated record
UUGUGUUUUUCCUUCCGGAAGUCUUUCCGCUGCAAACUCAUGAUAUGAGCGCCAAGUGCCUGCCUCUUACCGGUUUCGCUAGUCGGCUUUGCAAAGAAUGCUGACUGGAUUGUCCGCAUUCCACAGAUACAAUCACACACACAGUCUCUACACAUAGAGGCUGAUACCAAAACCAAGCCCAAAAUUUGCAGCACAAAGGAAAGUAUCAACGAGUUUGUCCGCAAAGUGUAGUCUAGGCUACUACUACACCGAUACGGCAAACGCUCACAAAUGCAGAGAAUUAAGUGUACAGCCAGUCGUAGCUUUCAGCCAAGUCGUGAGUGUAAUCCAAGUCCAGUGGGUUUGGAAGGCUGUGAAGUGAGCACUUUGCUCAAUAAGAGAAGUCAGAUAUAUUAACAGAGAUAAUGCUAUAGGCGAGUUCACCGACCAUCAGAUACCCAUUACUCAACUAAUGGAAAUGCGUACGCGAAAUUUGAUCAUUUUUCUGGGAAAUAAUAAAUAUUCAGGAAUAAAAUGAGAAAAAUGUGUUUCAAAUUGUUCAAAAGUGUGGGCGUGACAAUUUGGGUCGUUUUGCAGGUGUACGGAGGGGCGUGGCCAAAGUACUCUUUGUAUAGCGAUAGAAAUUGGAAACACAAGACAAGACAAUUUGAGCGUUAGAGUGGGCGUGGCAAAACGUUUUUUGGCAAAUCGAUAGAAAUUUACAGGACUUAUAAAAAUAUGAAAAUAUAUAAAAAAAAUUUUGAGAGUGGCAGUUCUGCGCGGAUUGUGGGCGUAAGAGUGGGCGUGGCAAACAGUUUUUUGCUAAUCGAUAGAAAUUUACAAGAUUAAUAAAAUUGUCAAAAGAUUUUUCAAAAUUGUGGGCGUUUCAGUUCUGGGCGGAAAAUAAACUUGAGCUGCGUUUCUGUCUCUAGAAUAUGAUUGAGAAGACAGUGGCUGAAUAUUUUAAUGGAGCUCUGGGAGUGUAAUCCCACACGGAAGCCAACUCAACAUAAAUGAAUAUUUGUGCCUUAUUAGGUUUAAGAAUAAAGUGUGUGCGCUCUCUUGUAAUCAUGAAUCCACGAAAUACCAUAAAUAAACCAUUUAAUGUGUAGAAUAUAAUGAUACCCUAUCUGACCAUGUAAGUUUUUUUUUU